Molecule: long non-coding RNA, 10635 nt
Organism: Cuculus canorus (common cuckoo)
Lineage: Eukaryota; Metazoa; Chordata; Aves; Cuculiformes; Cuculidae
Exons: 4
Source: RefSeq, a predicted model, not a curated record
UUUCCAUUCAAAGCGACAGGAUUCAGUAGUAUAUAUCUCACAAACUGCCAAAACAGAGUCAUUGGAUUUAGGUUUCUAAUAAUCAAACAACGGUAUAACAUGCCUGUACAUGUCAGAAACUGAAGCAAGCAAAUUUAUACACAACAACAUGUAUUUUGUGGAUAGCGAUAACCCACCCAAAUCUAAUUUAAUCAAAUAUUUAAAGAGGUAAUAAUUAAUUUUUAAAGAAUUGAAGUGAACCGUAACUAGGAAGAAAUGUUAUUGUUUAUUUUUAAUGCCAGAACAGUAUUCCUGAUGCAUUUUUAAUAUUUCAUUAAGGCAGUAACUUUCACACUAUAUUUUUUCAAGUUUUUAUAUCUCACUGAUACUUUUAUUUUUUUUUUCAGAACAAAUGUGAAAUUCUGUAGGUAAACUUAAAGCUCAAACUGAUACAUUCUUUGAGGACUUUUUGUCAUAACCAAUUAAACACAAACAGAAGUAUUUUUUAAACAAGGUAAGACACAACACCUGUCUUGGAGCUUGGCAAGUGCUGCUUCUUUUAGCCCGUGAAGCAUCAUUCCCAUCAGGUACCACUUUCUGUCCCCUCUUUCGAGCCACUAUUCAUCAUUCUUACUUUUAGGAGAGGUAUUUGCAAGAAAAGUUUGAAGGUCCACCACUCCCUGUGCUUUUCAGACCUAGGAACUUCUCUCUCUUGGCCUUUUGGUUUUUUCUGAUGAAGCGUCUCUCACAUUUUGAGCCUUUUCUACUCAAACCCAUGGAAGGCUGUUUAUUGCACUCUGGCUCCAGCCCUAGUUAAAGGUGUGAACUACCAAAGUGGAAGGGGGCACACGCACAUUAACACUGCUGUGGAAAACAUCGCUUGACAGAUGGAUGCAUGUUAAAUGGAUGUUUGGAGAAAGGUGUUUGCAAGAAAAAUCUUGAGUAUGGCAUCAUAGGAAGACCAUACAUAAUUUUCCAGCUCUAUUUCUCUAAUAUAUAAAGGUCAAGCUUGUUAUAGUAUCACCGCUUUUUAUUGUGAGACAUAGUUUUUGCAGUGCCUCUCAAUAUCUUUGAUAGGAAUAUGAAUUAGAAGGUUUCAAAUGCCAUACGUAAACACAUAUUAAUGCCUACAUACACAAGUUCAUACUUGAUAUUUCAUAGUGAUGUUUCAAAUAUUAAUAUUUGUGCAUUCAUUUUUUAAGUUUGACUGUUGCCAAGGGUCUACUCUGGAGAAUGAGGGUCCGAGGGUUUGGGGCUGGGGAGAUCUUAGAGCAGCCUAGAGAGGCUACAAGAAAGCUGGGGAGGAGAUCUUUAUCAGGGAGUGCAGGGAUAGGAUGAGGGGAAUGGGUUUAAGCUGAAAGAUGGGAGAUUUAGAUGAGCUAUUAGGAAGAGAUUUUUUCCUGUUCAGGUGGGGAGGCCCUGGCCCAGGGUGCCCAGAGCAGUCGGGGCUGCCCCAUCCCUGGAGGGGUUCCAGGCCAGGUUGGACGGGGCUUGGAGCCCCUGAGCCAGUGGGAGGUGUCCCUGCCCAUGGCAGGGGGAUUGAAACAAAAUGAUCUUUAAGGACCCUUCUAAUUGAAACCAUUCCAAGAUUCUAUGAAAUACUGGUAUAAAUUGUGAGUUCAUUCAUUAAGUAGAUAUCAAAAUGGUCCAAGGAUAAAUUGAGUUUUUGCGGUGUCAGUUACCAGUUCUUGAUCUUUGGGGAUAAAGGAGAUGCUCUUAACACCACCGAGUUACAGAAUAAGGAAUGUGAUGUGCAGAUUUUCUUGUUUGUUCAAGUCCUCCUCUGAACAGCUCUAAAAGCUGAGAUGUUUAAAUCCUGGUUAAGACUCUGUAUCCAGGCUCAGGUACAACCAAGUUCAAUGGAAAUAGUCAUACGGAAUUUCCUUGAUACUCUAUUGGUUAGAAAUACAGUUGCAAAAGCAUUUUUUUUCUCUUUAUGUUUUCUUUUCCAAAGGUGGUGGUGUAAAAAAACUUGGUACCUGUGGAUUUUUCUGUCCUAUUCCUAGACUUCUCCAAGCCCAGCGUAAAAGGAACCAAACUCAAUGUGUGGCAGGAAAAAGGAGCUUUAGGCAAGAAGAUGUCUGCUUAUCUAAUACUAAGUUUAUGGAGCCCUUAGCAGUUCCCUGAACAGAUAAUGGGACUAUGCAGGCAGAGCACGGCAUUGUCUAUAUUUUUGCUCUCUUCCCAAAAUACUUCUGGUUCAACCAUCCCCUGCCUACACGAAAAUUUUUGUACAGCCUGCCUCAGCUGAAUUGUUUUUUCUUUAUGUGUGGAUGUUCUGAUCUCGUAAUUGUUAUUUCCGUUUGUUUGUUCCUUUGCAUUUUCAAAUAUUUAGCCCAGGAAUCCUUCCACCUGAGAUUAUCAAGAAAAAAAAAAACCCACAUAAAUUACAACUACAUGCAGUUUACAACUUGUAGAUUCAAAUUUAUUUACAUAAAUUUGCAAAUAUGAAAGGAUAUGUGAGAAGACCUUGCAGGCAGACAACGCAACAGAAUUGUCAGUGAAUCUGUAUUUGCACAGAAAAGGACCUUCAGCUAGAUUGACAAUGGGAUUUCUCCAUGUAAAUGCAGCACCUAAGGUGAAAUCCACUGAUCAGCUGAAACUUUUCCUAAAGAUUCCGAACUCCUUGGUCAUCAGAAUUGCAUCACAGAUGUUUUUCAGAUUCCUGACACUGUUUUGCCAAUGAAGCCUACGAACACAGCUCAUCUGAAAGCUCUGGAUACUGCCAAAUCAGAGAAGGAAGCUGAAGACUACCAAUGUGGAACCCUUCCUCACCUCCUGGACUGGUAUCACUGACCCGGAUGUAUCCAGUUUCACAAGAUAAUUCCUUAAAAGGCCUGGUUUUCCCUGUCAAUUGUCUUGGAAGACGUCCUUCACGUCUGGAGAUGCCAUUAUGCACGAGGGCAGCUGCGAACUAAGCUGAGUAACACCCAUCCCCCUUUCUUUGGUGACUUUUUCCCACACUGCCAUUCUCUGCCUUUCUUUUCAAAAUGUUAAGUAAUUUACAGACUCAGUAUCUUGAGAUUCUUCCACCUUUGCUGCACAUACCAAAGAGAAUCUUGUGUAAGUUCUCACUUUAUUACCACACCUGUUAGAAACCACUGCUACAACCUGGGCGCGAAAAAAUGUGGCUGCACUAUACCUAGUAAGAAAUACUUACUGGCUUCAAUGUAAGCGCAUCACCACUGCUAUAAAACAGACACAACUACUUUGGUGACAUUCACUGUUACUCUACGUUGACAAGUUCCCAUUUAAUUUACUACAUAUGGUUCCACGUCUCCAUAGCUACUCUCGUGAAUUCAUUAUUCAUUAAAUAAGUGAUGAAUUUACUCAAAUAUUGCAGCCACAUGGCCGACACAAAUGCAUUCUAAUAUUAUUAACACGUUGCCAACUUGCAACUCUUCGAAGUCUGAGUAAAUGUUUUGACAAGAAGAGGCAGCAAGAACAAAUAAGUAGCAGCAGCCUAGAUGAAGUUCAGCCAUAGUUCUAACAGCUUUAAAGUCUUAACAGUGUUUUCACUGGGGCAGUACCAGAUAAAUUGCUCUUAUGUGUGCAUACAAGAGACUAAAAUUCCUUUGAAAGUUUAUAAUUUCUCAUGGGAAAACACAACACAAAAGUUACUUUUACUCAUAGAAAAACAACACCAUAUUUUCCUGUCAACCUUUGCUGUUGGGAAUUUCAAACUUUUUGCAUUUUUUCCCUGUGAUUCUUUGUCGACUCAAGGGACAGGCGUUUACAACAUAAUUUACUUUCAGCGUGUCUCUGUAAAUCAUUGUAAUACUUUCUAUGGCUAGUGAAAAAAAAAAAAGCAGCACUCUCAAGUUGAACCGACAAACCACUUUUCCAAGACUUCACAGCAAUGCAACCCCCCCUCCCCUUUCAGGAGAGCAUGGAGAGAUACACAGAAGAAAUAUAUUUUGUAAGGGCUUUAUAUGAAUAUUUGUAUUUAGAGGUUGUAAUAUCUAUUGUGAAAUAUUUAUUGAACUAUAUUUGCUUGCAGUAAAACAUACAGAGUGUGUGGAGCAUAAAACAUGUCGAGGUGGUGGGCACGAAGGGAAAAACACUGGCAUUUCAUUUUUACUGGAGAAAGUAUGCUCUUUCUUACUGUUUUUAAGGCCUGUUGUUGUCACUGUUGUUGUACAGACCUAACAUAUUGUCUCGGAUUAAAUACUUUAAGCACACCCUCCCAUAAAAAAGCUGGAGACCUGUAGAGCCUUUCAGCCUCACUUUUUGAGACUGCUGCUAAUAUCAAGGCUCAUUCAGUUUUACAUUAGAACUUGAUGACUUGCACAUUGGUUGAACCUUCACCUUUUACAACCUUAAUGGGGAUUUAUUAGCUAUUUCACAGUGUGUAAAUUUGAAUCUAGGUCAGAUGAGGAAGAAAAAUAGGGCAAAUCUGGGCCUUAAGUAUAACCUGCAUAUAAUAUAUCAGGAUAAAAAAAAAGGUGCAAAAUUAAACAGAUGAUUAAAAGUGUCUAGAGCAGUCAGAGUCUGAAAAAAGAGCUUGAUAAAUUAGGGGUGUAUGUAAGGGUUUUUUUGAGUUCAAACUCAGGUGACUGGUGAAAGUCUGGUUUCCACACAAAUUCAGCAGAUUAAGGAGUUAAAAUAGCUUGUUAACCUGUUUCUGCUAACUGAUCGCAAGAGGAAAUGUAACACAGGUGUGUUUGAUAUUCACAAGAUUAAAGCUUUUGUCUACCAUCAAAUGGUCACCACAUUAAAGCCGUUUUAAUGAGGUAUUGGAAGAUAAUGAAUGUAAGUCUCUUAAUUCACUGCAGAAGAGACAGCUUGACCCUGCUUUGACCCUGCUGCAGCCAGGUAUCUAAACCAACAUAUUAAUCACACUUAGACCAAAAGAUGUGCACGUAAUGAAAUAGCCACUACCUGCUGCCAUUCUCAUCUGCUAAAUAUCUAUCUGGUUCAGGUGUCUGAGCUCUUUUGCUCAGUACCCUGCAAGUCUGGUGUCAGGUAUUCCCCACUUGAUGGUACCCAUCCCUUACCAACUAUUUCAGGAAGACUAUCUGGAGGGGAAAAAAACACAGCUGCCAUGAGAAAGAAGGAUUUUUACAGUGUGUGAGCAUGGGGAAUGGGUAGGUGGAAAAUGGGUACAAAUUAAAGUUAUUGCUCCCUUAUCAUUCAUCCUGAUACUUAGUGAUGGUCAGAAAGUCAAUAGCUGGAGUGAAUAAAGGUUGAAAAGGUCUUGCUGGUUCAUCUAGUUUUGUACUUACUGUUCGAUGGAUCCACCCUCCUGCUAAGAUAAGGUACGCUGCCUGUUUAGUUAUUCUUAAUAGAAUAAGCUCCAAAUAAAAAUAAAAUAAAGAUCCUGAAAGGUUCUCCAAACCAGAUUUAUUUUGGCAUGCAUAUGCAGGAAACUAUGUACUGUAGCAAGUUUUAAAUACUGUAUUUGGACACUAAUUCUCAACUGCCGUCAUCAGUUUGCUGACAGCCAUCUGCUUGGACCCUGCUCCUUCCUCCCGUUCAGCACCAUUAAAGUAAAAUAUUGACAGAAACAACUUCUGCAGCAAAAGUGGAAAAGUUAAUAACAUAACUGAAGUCACACAGGAUUUUUUUCUAAUGUUCUGGAGCUCUCAUACAAUUUUGUUUUACUCAUGCUUUAAUUUAGAAGUGUCCCACCCGGCUUAAAAAUAGGAGGUUGUGUUACCAGCUAUCUUUAGAUGACACAGGUUACUGAGGAGGAAUCUAUAGUUCAUGUGCCUUAAUACUACUGAGCAACAGACACGCUCCUGGAGAAGCUGACACACCAGGAGAUGUGUUGUCAGUUAAAGCUGGGAAAAGAAGUCAUCACGAUAAGGUUGUCACUAUGGUGGCCCAAAGCUGCAAUGGCACACGCAGCAGAUUGAUACAAUUCAAAUGUACCUGCAGACACAUUUUUAAUAGUGAUUUAGAGGUCCAUGCAACCCCUUACAUCGUGCUCAUGGCAUACUGGUAACUCAGUGCUCUUGGGGUGCCUUGGCACUUCCAGAAAGACCCUGAGCCUCCUUGGACUGAGAUUCUUUUUUGUUCAUAGAAUCGCAGAAUGUCCUGAGUUGGAAGGGACACACAAGGAUCAUUCAGUCCAACUCCUGUCUCUGCAUAGGACAACCCCAACAUUCACAUCACGACACAGUACAUGGCUUGUGAUGUUCCCCACCUCAAUGAGUUUGAGCUGCUCCAGUUCAGCACAGGGCAAGCUCUACCUUAAGUUCUUUCCAUGAAACGUCACUAAAGCUCUCGCACAGGUCAUGGGCAACAAAAAACUUUGCCACCAAUUAUUUCAAAAAUAAGCGAACAUGCGCUCAUAUACACACUCACACAUCCAGAUAUACAUUCAUAAUAAAUAAUUUAUUCUUCAUACCUAUUUAUAAUACAUGAAUCUUGUAUAUUUUAUGGUGAUAGAACUGCUGUUUUCAGAUUUACAUGUCUUAUUAAAUUCCCCACACAACAAAACACAAUACUAUAGAAAUAUAUAGCCCUAGCAACUGAUUCAAGACUUCUAAUCCAAGUGGUCUUACUGUCUGCAAUAUUCUUUUCUAAAUUGUGCCAUUACAUCCCACAAAUUGACUUGCAAUGAAAGGUAAUUUUUAUUUUUGUUAUUCUGUUAGAGCUUUGUGGGAGAGAGGAAGAAAGAAUUCAUCCCAUAAAGAACAACACAACGGUUUUCAAGCUGAACUCUCUAACAUAGACAACGGUGUCUCCUGCUCUGCAGAUACGUGUACAUCAAAAUUGAAGUCAGCCCUAUGAGAAGAUGGGAAUGUUUAUGAUCUUGAAGAGAUCAGCAGUAGACUUAGUGGAGAAAGUAAAACCUUUGGGGAAAUGAAAAAAUUCUAAGUCCAGUUUCAAGCAGCAAAUUUGACCAGCGAUGCAGAAAGUGUAGCAGACAUUAAAACUGUUUGCGUGUGGCAACAAUGCCUCAUUGUCAAACCCAACACUUCAAAGUAGGACCACUGCAUUUUUUUGAGAAAUGUUUUCAAUAUUUGACUUGGUUUUUUUCCUCUUCAUAGGACAAAAAUAAAUAAAGCAGUUCCAUUUUCCUCAGACAGAGCACUGACUCCCAGUUCCUGCCUGUUGCAGGGUCCUGCAGGUCAGUGUGUGGGUAGAGAGGUGAGCGUUGAGCAUCCUCCACACUGCACAGAGUGGUGAGUGGCUUCCCCUCUGCUUCUGCUCACUUUCGCCUUCUCUAUUCACAUUGCUUUCUCCUUCACUUUGGGCUAAUUUUCCCUAACCUUGUUUAAAAUCCUCUGUCAGAGUCCUCCAAGCGUUCAGCAACUCCAAUUCUCUUUAAAGACCCUGUAGCUCUGUUUGUCCCCACGCCUGAGGUGCUCAACCACACAGCUAAUGUCCCCACACCGCACUACCGUAAGCACAAAAGCAAUGAUUUUCAUCCUUAAGUAGUUCUCAGACUGGAAGUGUUCACUUAGAUUCAAAGAGUUCACUCAAAAAGUUAUUUUAAACAACAUGCCACAUAUGUGGUGAGAAUGGCUAAACAGUCUUAUCAGCUUACCUUGCAGGUUCUUUUUUUGUGCUCUGUAGCUCAAAGUGCUGAGGCAUCCUCAGAAAGCCACAGGCACAAACCUCGUAAAGAGAUUAAAGAUCUGAUUGGGAGAGGCAGGAGGAAGCACUUCUAUACAUUUCCUUGUACGUGUUCUUCCGAAGGUAGAGCCAGCAGGAUCUCCUGCACAGGCCCAUGAGCCGCCAGAAGAAACUUUAGAACGUUUCUGGGUAUUUUCCCCAAGCAAAAGCAACAACAAACUUAAAGCAUGGAAAAAUACUUAAAGCAACAAAAUCAAGUAUGACAGAAAAACUAUGCAAAUGCGUUGCUCUUGCUUCAUAGCCAUUUUUUUCUACUCUUCAUCUUUGGAAGAGAAGUACAAAAGACUCGACAGAGAUUUGCUACCUCUUUGCACAUUGUUGAAAGGCUUGUAAUCUUUUCUCAAGGAUUUCUUAAUUAAAAUCCAUCUUAAAUGUUGUGGCAUUUGGUUGGACUCAAUGAUCCUGGAGGUCUUUUCCAACCUAGCAAUGCUGCGAUUUAUCUCCACACGUUAAAGAUACUUUCUUCUCUAGCUGCCGUUCUCACUAGCUUUGUUUGUUUUGGUGCUGCACAGCUCCAUGAGACUACGGAGCCAGAAAGCAAUUUUUUUCAAAGUCCAGAUAUUUAUAGAAUCAUAGAAUGGUUUGGGUUGGAAGAGACCUUAAAGAUCAUUUUGUUUCAACUCCCCUGCCAUGGGCAGGGACACUUCCCCCUGGAUCAGGUUGAUAAAAGCCUCGUCCAACCUGGCCUUGAACACCUCCAGGGAUGGGGCAGCCACCACUGCUCUGGACAACUAUUGCCAGUGCCUCGCCACCCUCACAGAGAAGAAUUUCUUCCUUAUCUCUCAUCUUAUCUACCUUCUUUCAGUUUAAAGUCAUUACCACUUGUCCUAUCAUUACAUACCCUUGUAAAAAGAAAUGUGAAACCAGGAUCAAAAAAAUCACAAGAGUGAUAAAUACCAUACCAAAAAUGAUUUUGCUUUUGUGACAUAUCUAAUGCAAAUGCUGAACUAUAAGCUUCCCUAGUAUCUGACAUAAGAGAUGCCUUUAUUAAAGUGCUUAUAGGACACAGAUAAGCUUUAAGAAUGUGGUUAGAACCCUGAUUAAGACAUGUAACAAAAAAACCCGAAGAGAUUAAAUAUCAUAAAUUUUGGACAUUAAAAGAAGAAAAAUCUGUUGAACGUCUCCUACACAACUCCAGCCAUGGAAAACUUUGCUGCCUGUUGUGAUGUGGUGGUGUCAGAGAGAUUUGACACUUUUCCAUCAUUAAAAGCUGGUCAUCAGGGGUGCAGAGCAUGGAUCUCUGUGCGCUCCCACCAGCACAACACGUUGCUGGCAUGAUGUCCUUCAGAGCCUCUCCUAUGCGGCAAAAGGCAUUUGUCAAUAUCUGAUUGUAACCACCAUCUGCCAAGGAAAUUCCUUGCUGUAAAGCUCUCGUUAGAAGUCCAAUCAAAAAGAUGUAAAAAAAGAGUAAAAUUGGUAAAGGUCUUCUCUAUAUAUACAUCUCACUGAAUAGUAAUGUCGUAAUACAAACUGUUUCUUGGUUUGGCACCUUCAACGCCAGCAGAGUCUUCAAAGCUGACAACCAACGUCACUGGAGACUCUACAAGAUUUCUACUGGUACAGUCUGACAAAAGAGAACAACUGUUUUCCCAACGGAGCAAAUUCUUUUCCCUGACUAGCAUAAGAUAUCAAUGCUUACGCCACUCCGCAAAGCUGUAUCUAAUUCUAAGGUCACACCUUUCUUUAAUGGCUUUCCUAAAAGUUUAUUGCAAGUUUCCUUAGCGACACAAGCAGGGUUUCAUUGAUCUCCAGGCAGGGCUGUCAUUAUAAGAGGAUGGGGUUCCAAUUCCUGAUUAAUGAAAAUUAUAAUUAUGUACUGAUAACAGAGAGAGAGAGAGAUGUUUCCCUGUUACUUUAAACAAAGAAGAGUUAAGGCCUUAUCUUAACUAUGCGUUGGCACUGCAAUGCGAAAUGGUCAUGCAAAAUUAAUUUUUAAUGUGUUCAAUUUAUAUUAAAAAUUUCUGCAAGUGUGUGAAUUUUUUUUCUGAGGCUGGAGUGCUACUUCAUUUACAAUAUUCCCUGAAGGUGUUUUUUUUUUUAAAGAGACUCUUAAACUGAAGCCAUUUUAAGGGUUUUAUGAGACAUUAUGUGAGCUUUCAUAUGCAAGUUAGUCGUUAAGUACCAGAUAUUAUAUUCUGUAAUAUGCUUAAGUGAUAUUAGAGGCUGUAUAUAGCCUGCAGUAAUGGCUAUUGCUGCUUUUUUAAUUUAUCAAGAAAAUGUUGCUUAAAUAAGGAGCAAAUCAGUGCUUGGGUGUAGAAAAUAUAAAUGUAAAGGAAGUAACAAUAUUGUUGUGACAUACUUUGUACUCUCCCCUUCACUGGGUAGCAAAAGCAGGGUCUACUUUCUUCUACUCCUACUGACUCGCAUGGCAAUUCCCCUAUACAUGGUGCUGGACACGUGUAAAAAUUCCACUGAGUCUCAUUGAACAGUGUAAAAUCAUUGCUUCUCAAGACUAAAUAAGAAUUCCCCUUUGUAAGUAGGCUUUCUUUGUACAAUUCUCGGUGUUCAGAAAAAGUAGCAUCUCAUAUUUGGAUUUAAAUGAGUGGGGUCUUUGAAUGUUCAACCCAUAAAGGGAAAUGUUUUUGUUAAGCUGGAUUCGCUGGUCAAGAUAUAAAAGCUAGGAUUGGAAGAAAACAACAAACAAACCAACACUUACAUAGUGAAAAGACUCGCAACUUUUUUCUUCCCCCCCACCUCCAAGAGUCAAAGGAAAUGAAAGAGAAGAAACCUUUAAUCUGACAGGCUUGUAGAAAUACAAAAGUCACUGGACUUUCCUUUCACACGUCUCUUGCUCCACAUCUUGACACAGAAAUGAAGUACUUCUGUGGUUGUGCUGCAGAGAUGUGGGACACAGGCGUGUUUCACACUGACAGCCCUGAGCAAUGACACCUUAUUUUGGCGACCGAGUCCCCCACCUGCCCCGACCUCUGCUUUAGCUCCAGCUGACAUUAGAGCUCAUUCUGGUUUAAAACGUUCCUUCUCUAACUACGGACCACUCUGCCCAGCUGCAAACUCCCAUUUCCAUGCAGAGCUAUGAUUGAAGAAAUGUAUUUCACAUGACAAAUAAUC